AUUGAACGCUGGCGGCAUGCCUUACACAUGCAAGUCGAACGGCCGCACGAGUGCUUUCCUCUGCUGGCGAUUGGCGCACGGGUGUGUAUUACAUCUGGAUAUCUCCUGUAGUGGGGGAUAGUCCGUCGAAAACCGGAUUGAUACCGCAUACGAUCUUCGUAUGCCAUCUGGUGCCCUUCUGACCUCCCGCUUUAGUGUUACCUGUUGACUGAUUAGCUAGUUGGUGGGGUAAAGGCCUACCAAGGCGACGAUCAGUAGCUGGUCUGAGAGGACGACCAGCCACACUGGGACUGAGACACGGUCCAGACUCCUAAGGGAGGCAGCAGUGGGGAAUGUUGGGCAAUGGGCGAAAGCCUGAUGGAGCAACGCCGCGUGUGUGAAGAAGGCCUUCGGGUUGUAAAGCACUUUUGUUAGGGAAGAAAACAUUGGUAAUAAAACGGGCAGGGGAUGACGGUACCGGAAGAAAAAGCAACGGCUAACUACGUG
RNAcentral lists this ribosomal RNA (486 nucleotides) under uncultured bacterium. RNAcentral describes it as "partial 16S ribosomal RNA". It matches the Rfam family "Bacterial small subunit ribosomal RNA", at positions 30 to 507 of the family's 1533-position model. The record is from RNAcentral.